GAUGAACGCUGGCGGCGUGCCUAAUACAUGCAAGUCGAGCGAACGGACGAGAAUCUUUCUUCUCUGAUGUUAGCGUCUGUCGUGUGUUUAACACGUGUAUAACCUACCUAUAUUUCUUGUAUAACUUCGUGAAUCCUUAUCUAAUCCCGUAUAAUAUUUUGAACCGCAUGGUUCAAUAGUGAAUUACGGUCUUUCUGUCACUUAUAGAUGUAUCCGCGCUGCAUUAGCUAGUUGGUAAGGUAACGGCUUACCAAGGCAACGAUGCAUAGCCGACCUGAGAGGGUGAUCGGACACACUGGAAGAGAGACACGGACCAGAGAACUACGGGAGGCAGCAGUAGGGAAUAGUGCGAAAUGGGCGAAAGAAUGACGGAGCAAAGCAGAGUGAGUGAUGAAGGUCUGAGGAUCGUAAAAAAAGGUUAUGAGGGAAGAAAAAAAGUGGAAGAAAAAGAGAACAGAGUGACGGUAAAGAAGAAGAAAGAAACGGCUAACUACGUG
Molecule: ribosomal RNA, 497 nt
Filed under: uncultured bacterium
Lineage: Bacteria
Description: partial 16S ribosomal RNA
Rfam family: Bacterial small subunit ribosomal RNA
Source: RNAcentral